RNAcentral lists this transfer RNA (73 nucleotides) under Hadarchaeum sp. (SeqCode). RNAcentral describes it as "Candidatus Hadarchaeum sp. tRNA-Val". It matches the Rfam family "tRNA". From Rfam's summary of the family: Transfer RNA (tRNA) molecules are approximately 80 nucleotides in length. Their secondary structure includes four short double-helical elements and three loops (D, anti-codon, and T loops). Further hydrogen bonds mediate the characteristic L-shaped molecular structure. tRNAs have two regions of fundamental functional importance: the anti-codon, which is responsible for specific mRNA codon recognition, and the 3' end, to which the tRNAs corresponding amino acid is attached (by aminoacyl-tRNA synthetases). tRNAs cope with the degeneracy of the genetic code in two manners: having more than one tRNA (with a specific anti-codon) for a particular amino acid; and 'wobble' base-pairing, i.e. permitting non-standard base-pairing at the 3rd anti-codon position. The record is from RNAcentral. Lineage: Archaea; Methanobacteriati; Hadarchaeota (SeqCode); Hadarchaeia (SeqCode); Hadarchaeales (SeqCode); Hadarchaeaceae (SeqCode).
GGGCCCGUGGUCUAGCGGUUAUGACGUCGCCUUUACAAGGCGAAAAUCGAGGGUUCGAAUCCCUUCGGGCCCA